AUCUUUGCGCAGUGGCAAUGUCGUAACUUAUGAUAUGAUAAGUGCGAUUAUUGCUGGUUGAAAACUCUUACCAAUACCAAUGCUAUAACGAUGUGAAAUAUUGGCUACGGCAAUUUUUGAAAGUUUCUGCGGAAA
Molecule: small nuclear RNA, 135 nt
Rfam family: U4 spliceosomal RNA
About the family: U4 small nuclear RNA (U4 snRNA) is a component of the major U2-dependent spliceosome. The structure of U4 snRNA from yeast and human has been reported.
Source: Rfam